RNAcentral lists this ribosomal RNA (438 nucleotides) under uncultured Streptococcus sp. RNAcentral describes it as "bacterial SSU rRNA". It matches the Rfam family "Bacterial small subunit ribosomal RNA", at positions 1 to 433 of the family's 1533-position model. The record is from RNAcentral. Lineage: Bacteria; Bacillati; Bacillota; Bacilli; Lactobacillales; Streptococcaceae.
UGACGAGUUUGAUCCUGGCUCAGGACGAACGCUGGCGGCGUGCCUAAUACAUGCAAGUAGAACGCUGAAGACUUUAGCUUGCUAAAGUUGGAAGAGUUGCGAACGGGUGAGUAACGCGUAGGUAACCUGCCUACUAGCGGGGAUAACUAUUGGAAACGAUAGCUAAUACCGCAUAACAGCAUUUAACACAUGUUAGAUGCUUGAAAGGAGCAAUUGCUUCACUAGUAGAUGGACCUGCGUUGUAUUAGCUAGUUGGUGAGGUAACGGCUCACCAAGGCGACGAUACAUAGCCGACCUGAGAGGGUGAUCGGCCACACUGGGACUGAGACACGGCCCAGACUCCUACGGGGAGCAGCAGUGAGGAAUAUUGGACAAUGGGCGCAAGCCUGAUCCAGCCAUGCCGCGUGCAGGAAGACGGUCCUAUGGAUUGUAAACUGC